GUCUCCGAAACGUUCGCUCCCAACCCAAUGUGAACCAUACCAAACUGUUGCCUCGGCGGGGUCACGCCCCGGGUGCGUCGCAGCCCCGGAACCAGGCGCCCGCCGGAGGGACCAACCAAACUCUUUACUGUAGUCCCCUCGCGGACGUUAUUUCUUACAGCUCUGAGCAAAAAAUUCAAAAUGAAUCAAAACUUUCAACAACGGAUCUCUUGGUUCUGGCAUCGAUGAAGAACGCAGCGAAAUGCGAUAAGUAAUGUGAAUUGCAGAAUUCAGUGAAUCAUCGAAUCUUUGAACGCACAUUGCGCCCGCCAGUAUUCUGGCGGGCAUGCCUGUCCGAGCGUCAUUUCAACCCUCGAACCCCUCCGGGGGGUCGGCGUUGGGGAUCGGGAACCCCUCAGACGGGAUCCCGGCCCCGAAAUACAGUGGCGGUCUCGCCGCAGCCUCUCCUGCGCAGUAGUUUGCACAACUCGCACCGGGAGCGCGGCGCGUCCACGUCCGUAAAACACCCAACUUUCUGAAAUGUUGACCUCGGAUCAGGUAGGAAUACCCGCUGAACUUAAGCAUAUCAAAAACCCGGAGGGAA
Molecule: ribosomal RNA, 583 nt
Filed under: Trichoderma erinaceum
Lineage: Eukaryota; Fungi; Ascomycota; Sordariomycetes; Hypocreales; Hypocreaceae
Description: eukaryotic LSU rRNA
Rfam family: 5.8S ribosomal RNA (bases 190-343)
Source: RNAcentral